Molecule: ribosomal RNA, 777 nt
Filed under: uncultured Pseudomonas sp.
Lineage: Bacteria; Pseudomonadati; Pseudomonadota; Gammaproteobacteria; Pseudomonadales; Pseudomonadaceae
Description: bacterial SSU rRNA
Rfam family: Bacterial small subunit ribosomal RNA
Source: RNAcentral
CAUGCAAGUCGAGCGGCAGCACGGGUACUUGUACCUGGUGCGAGCGGCGGACGGGUGAGUAAUGCCUAGGAAUCUGCCUGGUAGUGGGGGAUAACGCUCGGAAACGGACGCUAAUACCGCAUACGUCCUACGGGAGAAAGCAGGGGACCUUCGGGCCUUGCGCUAUCAGAUGAGCCUAGGUCGGAUUAGCUAGUUGGUGAGGUAAUGGCUCACCAAGGCGACGAUCCGUAACUGGUCUGAGAGGAUGAUCAGUCACACUGGAACUGAGACACGGUCCAGACUCCUACGGGAGGCAGCAGUGGGGAAUAUUGGACAAUGGGCGAAAGCCUGAUCCAGCCAUGCCGCGUGUGUGAAGAAGGUCUUCGGAUUGUAAAGCACUUUAAGUUGGGAGGAAGGGCAGUUACCUAAUACGUAAUUGUUUUGACGUUACCGACAGAAUAAGCACCGGCUAACUCUGUGCCAGCAGCCGCGGUAAUACAGAGGGUGCAAGCGUUAAUCGGAAUUACUGGGCGUAAAGCGCGCGUAGGUGGUUCGUUAAGUUGGAUGUGAAAGCCCCGGGCUUAACCUGGGAACUGCAUUCAGGACUGGUUAACUCGAGUCUGGGAGAGGGUGGUGGAAUUUCCGGUGUAGCGGUGAAAUGCGUAGAUAUCGGAAGGAACAUCAGUGGCGAAGGCGACCGCCUGGCCUAAGACUGACACUGAGGCACGAAAGCGUGGGGAGCAAACAGGAUUAGAUACCCUGGUAGUCCACGCCGUAAACGAUGUCGACUAGCCGUUG